GAUGAACGCUAGCGGCAGGCUUAACACAUGCAAGUCGAGGGGUAGGAGAAGCUUGCUUUUCUGAGACCGGCGCACGGGUGCGUAACGCGUAUGCAAUCUACCUUUCACAGAGGGAUAGCCCAGAGAAAUUUGGAUUAAUACCUCAUAGUAUAAUUGAGUGGCAUCAUUUAAUUAUUAAAGAUUUAUCGGUGAAAGAUGAGCAUGCGUCCCAUUAGCUAGUUGGUAUGGUAACGGCAUACCAAGGCAACGAUGGGUAGGGGUCCUGAGAGGGAGAUCCCCCACACUGGUACUGAGACACGGACCAGACUCCUACGGGAGGCAGCAGUGAGGAAUAUUGGACAAUGGGCGCAAGCCUGAUCCAGCCAUGCCGCGUGCAGGAUGACGGUCCUAUGGAUUGUAAACUGCUUUUAUACAGGAAGAAACACCUCUACGUGUAGAGACUUGACGGUACUGUAAGAAUAAGGAUCGGCUAACUCCGUGCCAGCAGCCGCGGUAAUACGGAGGAUCCAAGCGUUAUCCGGAAUCAUUGGGUUUAAAGGGUCCGUAGGCGGUCAGGUAAGUCAGUGGUGAAAGCCCAUCGCUCAACGGUGGAACGGCCAUUGAUACUGUCUGACUUGAAUUAUUAGGAAGUAACUAGAAUAUGUAGUGUAGCGGUGAAAUGCUUAGAGAUUACAUGGAAUACCAAUUGCGAAGGCAGGUUACUACUAAUUGAUUGACGCUGAUGGACGAAAGCGUGGGUAGCGAACAGGAUUAGAUACCCUGGUAGUCCACGCCGUAAACGAUGGAUACUAGCUGUUGGGAGCAAUCUCAGUGGCUAAGCGAAAGUGAUAAGUAUCCCACCUGGGGAGUACGAACGCAAGUUUGAAACUCAAAGGAAUUGACGGGGGCCCGCACAAGCGGUGGAGCAUGUGGUUUAAUUCGAUGAUACGCGAGGAACCUUACCAAGGCUUAAAUGUAGAUUGACCGUUUGGAAACAGAACU
RNAcentral lists this ribosomal RNA (981 nucleotides) under uncultured bacterium. RNAcentral's name for it is "bacterial SSU rRNA". It matches the Rfam family "Bacterial small subunit ribosomal RNA", at positions 28 to 1013 of the family's 1533-position model. The record is from RNAcentral.